RNAcentral lists this ribosomal RNA (440 nucleotides) under uncultured bacterium. Its description in RNAcentral is "partial 16S ribosomal RNA". It matches the Rfam family "Bacterial small subunit ribosomal RNA", at positions 338 to 795 of the family's 1533-position model. The record is from RNAcentral.
CCUACGGGAGACAGCAGUGGGGAAUAUUGGACAAUGGGGGAAACCCUGAUCCAGCGACGCCGCGUGAGUGAAGAAGUAUUUCGGUACGUAAAGCUCUAUCAGCAGGAAAGAAAAUGACGGUACCUGAAUAAGAAGCCCCGGCUAACUACGGGCCAGCAGCCGCGGUAAUACGUAGGGGGCAAGCGUUAUCCGGAUUAACUGGGUGUAAAGGGAGCGGAGACGGCGGGGCAAGUCUGGAGUGAAAUGCCGGGGCCCAACCCCGGAACUGCUCUGGAAACUGUGACGCUGGAGUGCAGGAGAGGUAAGCGGAAUUCCUGGUGUAGCGGUGACAUGCGUAGAUAUCAGGCGGAACACCGGCGGCGACGGCGGCUUACUGGACUGUAACUGACGUUGAGGCUCGAAAGCGUGGGGAGCAAACAGGAUUAGAUACCCUUGUAGUC